Molecule: long non-coding RNA, 1011 nt
Organism: Cucurbita pepo subsp. pepo (vegetable marrow)
Lineage: Eukaryota; Viridiplantae; Streptophyta; Magnoliopsida; Cucurbitales; Cucurbitaceae
Source: RefSeq, a predicted model, not a curated record
CUCUCUCUCUCUCUCUCUCUCUCUUUUGCUCUGCCCUUCGUUCGUUGCUCGCUUUUGCUCCUUCUCGGGACCAGCUUUGAACGAACACGUUGCAAUAGGCAAGAUUGUAGCAUAUUCCUAAGCCAAAUAGUGUAUAUUAGAUGAUGGCGCCUCAAAGAAGAGGCACAACAACAUGCAAUAGGGUAGGGUGGAAGGAGAUGGGUGACUCUGGCUCGAGCAGACCCUACCCAAAAUCAUUCGGUUGGAGAACCACCAUUGAGGCAUGUGCCACAAUGGCUAAUACCUCUGACACAAACUACGGUGAUAUUGACCUUGGAGACUACUCACUUUUUGAGUUAGCUGCAACCAAUUAGUCAAGAAUAAUGGAAACAUGAUGACAGAGUAAGUUAAAUAUUUGUAAGACUUCAGGAAGCAUGACCCCCAACCUUUGGACCCAGAGGCCGUAGACCAUACCACGAGAAAAGCGUGAUUGUCCUCGAUUAAAAUAGGGGAUUCGAACUUUAUCUUUUAAUUGAGAAUACAGUUAGAGUGAAGUUGGAGAAUCUCCCUCUUGAGCUAGCCAGCGACAUUAUCUGGUUCAAAUUUCCAGGUCUAGUCUUCACUGUUUUUUUUUUUUUUUUUUUUUCUACCAUGACUAAAUUGUCAACUUUCUUAAACAACAUCAUGUUUCUAUUGUUUCUUAAAAAAGAAAAAGAUUUGAUUUUUAUAUGAGAUCUCAAAUACUUUAGUAGGUGUCCUUCCUAUUGUUUUUUUCCAAUAAUUGAACCAUGUAUUUAGUGUCAUAAACAAAACAAUCAUUUUCACCAUUUUAUCUCUCUAAAAUUAUUAUUUCUCUUGUCUGGUGAGGGAGAAAGAAUAUUCUCUGACUUUUUCCCACAAAAAAAGCUAUUGAGAAAGAGAGAGAAAGGAGAAACAAUUGUACUAAAUAUUAGUUAGAUGACAAAGCUGUGAGACACACAAAACAUGUCCAUGUGGUUCACCAAAUGCUCAUCAUAUAGGGUUUUGUGGGUC